AUUGAACGCUGGCGGCAGGCUUAACACAUGCAAGUCGAGCGGAGAGAGGUAGCUUGCUACUGAUCUUAGCGGCGGACGGGUGAGUAAUGCUUAGGAAUCUGCCUAUUAGUGGGGGACAACAUUUCGAAAGGAAUGCUAAUACCGCAUACGUCCUACGGGAGAAAGCAGGGGAUCUUCGGACCUUGCGCUAAUAGAUGAGCCUAAGUCGGAUUAGCUAGUUGGUGGGGUAAAGGCCUACCCAGGCGACGAUCUGUAGCGGGUCUGAGAGGAUGAUCCGCCACACUGGGACUGAGACACGGCCCAGACUCCUACGGGAGGCAGCAGUGGGGAAUAUUGGACAAUGGGCGGAAGCCUGAUCCAGCCAUGCCGCGUGUGUGAAGAAGGCCUUAUGGUUGUAAAGCACUUUAAGCGAGGAGGAGGCUACUUUAGUUAAUACCUAGAGAUAGUGGACGUUAUUCGCAGAAUAAGCACCGGCUAACUCUGUGCCAGCAGCCGCCGUAA
Molecule: ribosomal RNA, 501 nt
Filed under: uncultured bacterium
Lineage: Bacteria
Description: partial 16S ribosomal RNA
Rfam family: Bacterial small subunit ribosomal RNA
Source: RNAcentral